GAUUAACGCUGGCGGCGUGCCUAACACAUGCAAGUCGAGCGGCAGCGCGUUUUACACUGAAUUCUGGAAGCUUCUAGUUGAAAGAGAAGAUUUAUUCAAGAAUUUUGUGUAAAAUGUCGGCGAGCGGCGGACGGCUGAGUAACGCGUGGGAACGUACCCCAAAGUGAGGGAUAACGCAUCGAAAGGUGUGCUAAUACCGCAUAUGGUCUUCGGAUUAAAGCCUUCGGGCGCUUUGGGAACGGCCUGCGUAAGAUUAGAUAGUUGGUGGGGUAAUGGCCUACCAAGUCGACGAUCUUUAACUGGUUUGAGAGGAUGAUCAGUCAGACUGGAACUGAGACACGGUCCAGACUCCUACGGGAGGCAGCAGUGAGGAAUCUUCCACAAUGGGCGAAAGCCUGAUGGAGCAACGCCGCGUGCAGGAUGAAGGCCUUCGGGUUGUAAACUGCUUUUAUAAGUGAGGAUUAUGACAGUAACUUAUGAAUAAGGAUCGGCUAACUACGUG
Molecule: ribosomal RNA, 502 nt
Filed under: uncultured bacterium
Lineage: Bacteria
Description: partial 16S ribosomal RNA
Rfam family: Bacterial small subunit ribosomal RNA
Source: RNAcentral